Molecule: long non-coding RNA, 2778 nt
Organism: Gorilla gorilla gorilla (western lowland gorilla)
Lineage: Eukaryota; Metazoa; Chordata; Mammalia; Primates; Hominidae
Exons: 4
Source: RefSeq, a predicted model, not a curated record
CUGGGAAGGGAGGCUCUGGAGUGGGGCGCGGCUGCGGCAGAGGGGUGGGCGCAUGCGGCUGUGACCCUGCGAGCUCCUCAGAGAGGCUGCGAUACAAGGAGAAGUAAUGCCUGGAUGUGAGAAAGAAAAAGAACUUCACAAAGGAUACCAGCUGAAGCUUAAGACAUAUUUUACAGAGAGUGGAGUGAGCAACACAACUGGAAAACAGGAAGACAUUGAAAGCAUUAAAAAAUGGUAAAAUGAAAGUAAAACCGUCACUAUUGGAACGUGGUAUGACUGUAUUCCUGAAAAACCCAAGGUGACUACAUGCAAAAAUGCAGCUGGACCUUUACCUUAUACUAUACACAGAAAUUAACUCAAAAUGAGUCAGAGACCUAAAUGUAGAGCUAAAUAAGACUCUUGGCAGAAAACAUCAGGGAAAAAUUUUAUGGCAUUGGAUUUGGCAAUGAUUUCUUGGCUAUGACACCAAAAGCACAGAUGAUACCAAAAGAUAAAGAUGUAACUUAAACUUCAUCAAAAUCAAACUUUUGUGCAUCGAAAGACACUAUCAACAGAGUGAAAAGUCAACCCACAGAAUGGGAUAAAAUACUUGCAAAUCAUAUAUCUGAUGAGGGAUUGCUAUCCAGAAUAUAUGAAGAACUCCUACAACACAGCAACAACAACAACAAAAAACAAACAAUCCAAUGUGAACAUGGGAAAAAGACUUGAGAAGGCAUUUCUUUAAAGAAGAUAUAGAAAUAAGCCAAACCGGCCGGGUGUGGUGGUUUACGCCUGCAAUCCCAGUACUUUGGAAGGCCGAGGUGGGUGGAUCACCUGAGGUCAGGAGUUGGAGACCAGCCUGGCCAACAUGGUGAAACCCUGUCUCCACUAAAAAUACAAAAAAAUUACUGGGAGCGGUGGCGGGCACCAGUAAUUCCAACUAUUCUGGAGACUGAGACAGGAGAAUCGCUUGAACCUGGGAAGCAGAGGUUGCUGUGAGCGGAGAUCGUGCCACUGCACUCCAGCCUAGGCAACAAGAGUGAGACUCCAUCUCACACAUACACAAAAAAAAAGCCAAACCACACUGAAAGAUGUUUGAUAUCAGGAAUUAAUAGGGAAAUUAUGCAAAUCCAAACAACAGUGAUUUGUACUUCACACCCACUAGGAUGGCUAAUAUUAAUAAUAAUAAUAAUUGUUGGUGAGGAUGUGCAGAAAUUGGAACCCUGGUGCACUGCAUCUGGAAAUGUAAAAUGUUACAGUUGUUGGGGGAAACAGUAUGGCAGUUCCUCAAAAAAUUAAAGGAUUACCAUAUGAUCCAGCAAUUCUACUUUUGGGAAUAUAUCAAGAAUAAUUGAAAAUGGGAACUUGAAGAAAUAUUCGUACACCCAUUUGUAGCAGUAUUGUUUACAAUAACCAAAAGGUGGAAACAAUCCAAAUAUUCUUCAGCAGAUGAAGAGAUAAACAAUAUAUAUAAUAGAAUAUUAUUCAGCCUUAAAGAGGGAUGAAAUUCUAAUACAUGCUACAACAUGGAUGAACCUUGAAGAUUUUAUACUAAGUGAUAUAAGGAUACAAAAGGACAGAUAUUAUAUGAUUCCACUUAUGUAAGGUACCUAGAAUAGUCAAAUUCAUAGAGACAGAAAGAAUACUUGUUAGCAGGGACUGGAAAAAGGGAGUAAUGGAGAGUGAUUGUUUAAUGUGUACAGAGUUCCAGUUGGGAUAAUGAAAAUUUCUGGAUAUGGAUGGUGGUGAUGGUUGUACAGCAGUGGGAAUGCACUUAAUGCCAGUGAACUGUACACUCAACAAUGAUUAAAAUGGCAAAUUUUAUGUUUUGUAUAUUUUACUACAAUAAAAAUAUAUAUGCAAUUGGGUGUGAGGUACAUGGAAACUGUACUAUCUUCUCAUUUUUUCAGUAAAUCUAAAAACGUUCUAAAACUAAAAUCUAUUUAAAAAAAAUUAAUCCUUGUUUCCCAAAGGGUUAAACAUAGGUACCACAGGACUCAGCAAUUCCAUUCCUAGAUAUUUGUCCAAGAGAAAUGAAAACAUAUGUCCACACAAAAAUUUGUACACAAAUACUCACGACAGCAUUAUUUAUAAUAGCCUCCAAAUGAAACCAACCUAAAUGCCCAGCACUGAAUAUCCAUUCUUUGUUGUAUAUCCAUAUAUGGAAAUAUUAUUUGGCAAUAAAAAGGAAUGAAGUAGUUAUAUAUGUUGCCACGUGGAUGAACCUUGAAAAGAUGCAAAGUAAAAAGAGCCAGUCAGAGAAGACCACAUACUGUAUGAUUCCACUUAUAUAAAAUGUCCAGAAUAGGCAAAUCUGUGGAGAUAGAAAAUAGAUUAGUGGCUGCCAGAGGCUGGUUGAAGGAAAUUUGAGGAGUGAUUGCCAACGGGAAUCACUGGAGUUUCUCUUAGAGGGAUGAAAAUAUUCUAAAAUAAUUUUGGUGAUGGUUGCAAAAUUCUGAACAUACUAAAAAUCAUAGAAUUGUAUAUUUUAACUGUACUCUUAAAACUUACUUUUAGGAUGGAAAUUCCACAACUGGAGAAGUAAUCCAAGAUUACAUGCCACUGUUUCCACCUAGAACCUUGCUCUGGAACCCCAAUAAUUUAUAAAUUUCGCUGCUUUAUGGUGUCCCAUAUGUCAUGAAGGCUUUGCUCAUUCUAUUAUAUCCUUUUAUUUAUCUGACUGGAUUAUUUCAAAAUAGUUAUCUUCAAAUUUAGAGAUUCUUUCUUUGUUUGGCCUAGUCUAUUGUUAAGGUGUUUGAAUGUAUUUUGCAUUUCAUUAAAUAAAUUAUUGAGUUCCAG